RNAcentral lists this ribosomal RNA (497 nucleotides) under uncultured bacterium. Its description in RNAcentral is "partial 16S ribosomal RNA". It matches the Rfam family "Bacterial small subunit ribosomal RNA", at positions 28 to 507 of the family's 1533-position model. The record is from RNAcentral.
GAUGAACGCUGGCGGCGUGCCUAAUACAUGCAAGUCGAGCGAACGGACGAGAAGCUUGCUUUUCUGAUGUUAGCGGCGGACGGGUGAGUAACACGUGGAUAACCUACCUAUAAGACUGGGAUAACUUCGGGAAACCGGAGCUAAUACCGGAUAAUAUUUUGAACCGCAUGGUUCAAAAGUGAAAGACGUUCUUGCUGUCACUUAUAGAUGGAUCCGCGCUGCAUUAGCUAGUUGGUAAGGUAACGGCUUACCAAGGCAACGAUGCAUAGCCGACCUGAGAGGGUGAUCGGCCACACUGGAACUGAGACACGGUCCAGACUCCUACGGGAGGCAGCAGUAGGGAAUCUUCCGCAAUGGGCGAAAGCCUGACGGAGCAACGCCGCGUGAGUGAUGAAGGUCUUCGGAUCGUAAAACUCUGUUAUUAGGGAAGAACAUAUGUGUAAGUAACUGUGCACAUCUUGACGGUACCUACACGGAAAGCCACGGCUAACUACGUG